This is a long non-coding RNA of Panicum virgatum (switchgrass), 461 nucleotides long. RefSeq lists it as uncharacterized. The transcript has 2 exons. The record is from RefSeq and is a predicted model, not a curated record. Lineage: Eukaryota; Viridiplantae; Streptophyta; Magnoliopsida; Poales; Poaceae.
UCCCUACCCCCACCACCACUGCCAUUUUCGGAAGCAUAACCGCUGACUCCUUCCUGCGGGGGAGGUGGACGGAGGCGACUCGGGAGGACGAUGAUCUUGCUCGUUGGAGACCACUGGAGCGAUGGCAAGGGAAGCGAGGAGACUGUACGCCGACCGGCGGGGCAGCUUCGUCUCCAUCGCAACCCAAUCAUGGCAAGAAAGCGAGAACUUAAAAUGCCGAAUCCGCCCCCUCUCCAAGGAGGAAGACGAGAGCAAUGUUAGGGAUGGGAGGAGUUAAAAUAACUAUGUUACUGCAGAUAACUUGCUAAUAUUUACUUUAUAACUUGAUACACUGUCUCUAUAUAAGUUGUUACAUUAUAAUUUCAUAAGUGGUGACAAAUAGAAGUUGUAAUAUUUUUCUCUACAUUAAUCACUUGUGCAAUGACCAUUGUUUUAUGCUUAUUUAGUAUUUCUUCUUUUAA